GAUGAACGCUGGCGGCGUGCCUAAUACAUGCAAGUCGAGCGAACAGAUGAGGAGCUUGCUCCUCUGACGUUAGCGGCGGACGGGUGAGUAACACGUGGAUAACCUACCUAUAAGACUGGGAUAACUUCGGGAAACCGGAGCUAAUACCGGAUAAUAUAUUGAACCGCAUGGUUCAAUAGUGAAAGACGGUUUUGCUGUCACUUAUAGAUGGAUCCGCGCCGCAUUAGCUAGUUGGUAAGGUAACGGCUUACCAAGGCAACGAUGCGUAGCCGACCUGAGAGGGUGAUCGGCCACACUGGAACUGAGACACGGUCCAGACUCCUACGGGAGGCAGCAGUAGGGAAUCUUCCGCAAUGGACGAAAGCCUGACGGAGCAACGCCGCGUGAGUGAUGAAGGUCUUCGGAUCGUAAAACUCUGUUAUUAGGGAAGAACAAAUGUGUAAGUAACUAUGCACGUCUUGACGGUACCUAAUCAGAAAGCCACGGCUAUCUACGUG
Molecule: ribosomal RNA, 497 nt
Filed under: uncultured bacterium
Lineage: Bacteria
Description: partial 16S ribosomal RNA
Rfam family: Bacterial small subunit ribosomal RNA
Source: RNAcentral